UUUUCCUUUUUCUUUUUUCCUUUUUUCUGUUUCGUGUUUUCUUUUUCUUUUUGUUUCCUUUUUCUUUUUCCUGUUUCUUGUUUUAUUUUUCUUUUUUCCUUUUUUCUGUUUCCUGUUUUCUUUUUCUUUUUGUUUCCUUUUUCUUUUUCCUGUUUCUUCUUUUAUUUUUCUUUUUUCCUUUUUUCUGUUUCCUGUUUUUUUUUUCUUUUUGUUUCCUUUUUCUUUUUCCUGUUUCUUCUUUUAUUUUUCUUUUUUUUCCCUUUU
RNAcentral lists this long non-coding RNA (264 nucleotides) under Hordeum vulgare. RNAcentral's name for it is "long non-coding RNA (HVUL_LNC008531)". The record is from RNAcentral. Lineage: Eukaryota; Viridiplantae; Streptophyta; Magnoliopsida; Poales; Poaceae.